AGCCAGGAGGCGGGCUCGCGCGGCGGGAGGCGGGCAGAGCGGAGCGGUGGGCUGGGGGCUGGAGGACAGGUUUGUGCGCUGGACGCAAGCCGCAGGCGCAGCCUCGCUCACCGAGACCCGGCCAGAGACAGGGUUUCACCGUGUUGGCCAGGCUGGUCUCGAACUCCUGACCUCAGGUAAUCCACCUGCCUUGGCCUUCCAGAGUGCUGGGAUUACCAGACGUGAGCCACCGUGCCUGGCCGACCCAUCUUCUAAGAGUCGAAUCUGUCUGUGUUGUGUUUACCUUUCUUUGCUCUCCCAAGAAUGUGUUACGAGUCAGUUUUUAGUGAAAAAACAUUGGGUUAGGAGCCAAGACCCAUCUCUUCACUAUUUUGGUAUUGUGCAAGUCAUCUUAUCUCUUUGGACCUCAGUUGUCUCAUCUGUAAAAAGGAGAUAAAAAUUAUUUACCUGCCUGAA
This is a long non-coding RNA of Cercocebus atys (sooty mangabey), 456 nucleotides long. RefSeq lists it as uncharacterized. The record is from RefSeq and is a predicted model, not a curated record. The transcript is spliced from 3 exons. NCBI's taxonomy places the organism in Eukaryota, Metazoa, Chordata, Mammalia, Primates, Cercopithecidae.